CCUACGGGCGGCAGCAGUGAGGAAUAUUGGUCAAUGGACGAGAGUCUGAACCAGCCAAGUAGCGUGAAGGAUGACUGCCCUAUGGGUUGUAAACUUCUUUUAUAUGGGAAUAAAAUGUUCCACGUGUGGGAUUUUGUAUGUACCAUAUGAAUAAGGAUCGGCUAACUCCGUGCCAGCAGCCGCGGUAAUACGGAGGAUCCGAGCGUUAUCCGGAUUUAUUGGGUUUAAAGGGUGCGUAGGUGGAUUGUUAAGUCAGUUGUGAAAGUUUGCGGCUCAACCGUAAAAUUGCAGUUGAAACUGGCAGUCUGGAGUACAGUAGAGGUGGGCGGAAUUCGUGGUGUAGCGGUGAAAUGCUUAGAUAUCACGAAGAACUCCGAUUGCGAAGGCAGCUCACUGGACUGCAACUGACACUGAGGCUCGAAAGUGUGGGUAUCAAACAGGAUUAGAUACCCCAGUAGUC
This 460-nucleotide ribosomal RNA is filed under the name uncultured bacterium. RNAcentral's name for it is "partial 16S ribosomal RNA". It matches the Rfam family "Bacterial small subunit ribosomal RNA", at positions 338 to 795 of the family's 1533-position model. The record is from RNAcentral.